RNAcentral lists this ribosomal RNA (219 nucleotides) under uncultured bacterium. RNAcentral's name for it is "partial 16S ribosomal RNA". It matches the Rfam family "Bacterial small subunit ribosomal RNA", at positions 32 to 229 of the family's 1533-position model. The record is from RNAcentral.
AAUCAACGCUGGCGGCGUGCCUCAGACAUGCAAGUCGAACGCGAAAGGCUCCUUCGGGAGCCCGGUAGAGUGGCGCACGGGUGAGUAACACGUGGGUAAUUUACCUUCGGGUGGGGAAGUAACAGCCGGAACGGCUGCUAAUACCGCAUAAUGCAGCGGCACCACAUGGUGACAGUUGUUAAAGUGGGGGAGUCGCAAGACCUCACGCCUGAAGAGAAG